CUCCGCCGCGGCCUCUGUCGCUGAGCGAGGCCGCCCCGGUGCAGUAUGGAGGCGAAGGUAGGGUUCACGCAGACUACCGGCGGCGCGUGCUCUGUGUUGGCGGAGGAGACCGAAAAGUGGAUGGAACAGGCGAUGCAAAUGGCCAAAGAAGCCCUAGAAAAUAUUGAGGUUCCUGUUGGCUGCCUUUUGGUCUACAACAAUGAAGUUGUAGGGAAGGGAAGAAAUGAAGUUAAUCAAACCAAAAAUGCUACUCGACAUGCAGAAAUGGUGGCCAUCGACCAGGCCCUAGAUUGGUGUCGUCGACAUGGCAAGAGUCCUUUGGAGGUGUUUGAACACACGGUACUGUACGUCACCGUGGAGCCGUGUAUCAUGUGCGCAGCCGCUCUCCGCCUGAUGAAAAUCCCGCUGGUUGUCUAUGGCUGUCAGAAUGAACGAUUUGGUGGUUGUGGCUCUGUUCUAGAUAUUGCCUCUGCUGAUCUACCGAAUACUGGGAGACCAUUUCAGUGCAUCCCUGGAUAUCGGGCUGAGGAAGCAGUGGAGAUGUUAAAGACCUUCUACAAACAAGAAAAUCCAAAUGCACCAAAAUCAAAGGUUCGGAAAAAGGAAUGUCAGAAAUCCUGAACUUGUUCUAAUGAAAGACUCAUGCUCCUGGACGACAUCCUUGGACAAAAAGCUGUUGACAUUGUUGAAUCAUUGUGUUUGCAGCAUGCUCGCCAGACAUGGAAUCUUAGAAGAGCCACUGCGAAUGCUAGAUGCAGUCUGUAGAAUUCAUUGUCUUUUAAAUUUGGAUAUCAUUCAUGACCACACACAUGCUUAGGAAGUGAAGUAUACAUAUGUCAUUUGGAUGCUCCUGGUACAUAAUGACAACGUGUCCAUGGUCCUUGACAGCAGCACGUGAAGAAGGGCACUUACUCCUGUGAAUCACAGGUUGCAGGAUUUUGGAGGUCUCUGCCGACCUCCCAGCCCAGGACAGACCCUGUGAAGCCAUCCAGCACUGCAGCAGAGCCAAUCAAUAACGAGAUUACUCACCUCGUCCUUUCUCCUGCCUCUGGGCAGCAACAAAGCCAACCCACUGUAGUCAAACAGCUUUUACAAGAACCACACACACUUUCUCUUCAGUGUUUCCAAAGACAAAACCUCAGUGUGGUGUGUGAAGUGACAACACAGGAAGGCGGUUGUAGGGCCAAACCAACCCUGCUGCUCAGUUCUCUCUCCCAGGCUCAGAGACCAGCCUGCCUUCCUGUGGUUUCCGUGGAACCGAAAUGUUUGCGUGGGUUUCGUCAUCUCCAGGAGAAGCUAGCUGGUCAUGCGGUGACGGCCUCGUCCUUCACCAGGAUGCCAAGUGCUGGGGGAUGAACCCAGAGACUUCAUAGAGCAGCUCAGUGAAUAGCCUCACCUCCCACCCAAGCUGAAAGUCCUGGAAGUCACCUUUGACACCUGCCCCCCAACCUCUGUCACCUACCAUACACAUCUGAUCAUCGCCAACAUUCAUUCAACAAGUUUUACAAGAAUAAGUAGUUUCAGGAGAAUUCAACAAAAAGAAAACAUGGAGAAAGAAAAUAUGGUGUGUUGAGGAAGUUUCCUCAAGCGCUGUUUACAAUAGCCAAGGCAUGGAGACAACCUAAAUGUCCAUCAACAGAGGAAUGGAUAAAGAGAUGUGGUGUAUACACAGUGGAAUAGUACUCAGCCAUUGAAAAGAAUGAAAUAAUGCCGUUUGCAGCAACAUGAAUGGGCCUGGAGAUUAUCAUAGUAAGUGAAUCAUUUGACCUAUUUGGAGGCAGCAUGAUAGAAGGCAAAGAGUUCAAGUUUCAGAGUCAGGCAAUUCUGGCCUCAAACCCUGGCAUUGCCACUUCUGUGUGAACUUGGACCUUGAAAAUACUGCUGAACUGAAUGAAUAAGCAUUUUCAGAACUCUAAUGAAAAACUGAUGAACUCAUAAAAGUGCUAACAAAAGAUCAAGAUGAAAAAAAAAAAUUAAUUACAUGGGACUGAGUGAACUGAUGAGGAUGAGUAUAAUUUUUGUGACUUUCUGUCUGAAUUUAAAAAAAAAAAAAAAAAAAAUUCCACAAGGACUCAGAGGCAAAGAAUAUACAAAUCAAUUUUCACUGCAAAGUAAAGGAGCUGUUACAGUGGAGGAUUACUGGACUGAAUGUCAAUACUAUGACAUAGUAUGAGUGUGUUUCAUGUUUGGUAAUUGCAAUCAUUGUUGCUUUUGUUGUGGUCAUCCAUGUACAAUGCUUGGUGUCAGUCGAUUUAUCUCUUGUAAAAAUAAAAUACAGUGUGUGUGU
This is an RNA transcript of Balaenoptera ricei (Rice's whale), 2287 nucleotides long. It is a transcript of the gene named adenosine deaminase tRNA specific 2, with no coding region annotated. Lineage: Eukaryota; Metazoa; Chordata; Mammalia; Artiodactyla; Balaenopteridae. The record is from RefSeq and is a predicted model, not a curated record. The transcript is spliced from 13 exons.